CACGACGGACGACCCUCGUGCAGACACAUCAAUAGCGGGACGGCCCGC
Molecule: non-coding RNA, 48 nt
Organism: Pseudomonas caspiana
Lineage: Bacteria; Pseudomonadati; Pseudomonadota; Gammaproteobacteria; Pseudomonadales; Pseudomonadaceae
Source: Rfam